This 71-nucleotide transfer RNA is filed under the name Loxodonta africana (African savanna elephant). It matches the Rfam family "tRNA". From Rfam's summary of the family: Transfer RNA (tRNA) molecules are approximately 80 nucleotides in length. The record is from Rfam by way of RNAcentral. Lineage: Eukaryota; Metazoa; Chordata; Mammalia; Proboscidea; Elephantidae.
GCCAUGGUGGUUCAGUGGUAGAGUUCUCGCCUUCCACGCAGGAAACCUAGGUUCAAUCCCCAGCCAGUGCA